Dicentrarchus labrax (European seabass) is the source of this 4055-nucleotide long non-coding RNA. RefSeq lists it as uncharacterized. The record is from RefSeq and is a predicted model, not a curated record. NCBI's taxonomy places the organism in Eukaryota, Metazoa, Chordata, Actinopteri, Moronidae. The transcript is spliced from 3 exons.
GUCAUAAAGUUGAAGGAGAAUCGAACGCUGCCGUUACAUUACCGAAUGUUCGAUUGAGGCUAAUUUCAACAGGAAGCAGCGACGUUAAAGCGGAUUAAUGGAGAGAGAGUGCGGUAAAAUAACGCUUCUGUUUUAUUUUAGCGGCAAAGAAGCUCAACCGGGCCUCUUUAGGCGCUGUUCGGCCAUUUAAGAAAAGUUGUUUUUCUGUUGUCAAUAAAAUAAUAUGGUGGCUAAAAACAGUUAGCAUAAAAUGUGGCUUAUGACAAACCAACUGUAGCCAAUGGAGGCUGUACAGAAACAAUUAAAGUAUUUUGCUGCAACAGAAGACUUUGCAACUUGCUGUAAAGCAGAUCAUUCUUUAUUUUCACUCUAAAUAUCAGGCUGCGAACUACAGGGGGGCCGGGGGGAGUUAAUAAGACAUGAAAACAUGAAUUGUGACAUUUUUGGGGGUUGUCUAAAAUAUUAACAAUAUACUAAUUUUGACCAGUAUGUCUAGUUUUCUGUAUCUUUAUCAUCAUGGAUCAGGUGUAAAAUGAAGCUAUUAUUGAUAACUGAUUAUUAAAGAUCACAUGUGCUGACAGAAAGAAAGUAGGCCCACAUGAUUGCAGCUAUGAAAAAAAAAAAAGAAGCGAGCUCCCCUGAGAGCCACACUGCUAAUAUUCCUACUGCUCAGAUACUUUCAUUAAACUCCAUUCCCUCCAAUACUGUGUGAGGUAUCUUCGUCCCUAAAUGAUACUGACAGCCUCAACCAGCUCAUUCAGUUUAAAAAUAAUAAAGAAAUACUGUUGAAAAGCAAGCUGGCCACAAAAAGCUGCCCUACAGGCUCAGACAUGAGCAGCUGCUGAUUAAAGCUGCUGCCAUGAAUUAUUUGACUUAAAUGACCUUUGAAUGAAAUCAACAGACUGCACUUAGAGGAUGAAAUAAAAGAGAUUUUUCCGCUUAACUAUUGGUAGAAAGAUAGCUGGAUGGUGUGAGAAAUUCAUAUUAUUUUGCCAACAAAUACAUACAUUAAUAAUAAAGUAAUUACAUUAAUAAGCAUAAUAAUAAAUGAAGUAACAUUUAAUGAGGAAAUAUCCUAAAUUCCAAUCAUUUAACUAUUUAAGUCCUGUGCAGGAAGCACCCACUUCUGAGGCAGGAAGAUAUCUGUAAAACCAAAAGUAAAAAAAUGUCAGGUUGUGUUCAGGGGAAUGUGAAUUUGCUGGAAGUAUUUGUUGUCUCAUUUCCUCCUCAGAAAUUGGCUGUGGUCGACGGCAACAAAGCCAGCGAUUGAUCGCAAGUAUCAAGAUAUCAAAUGGACGGAGUCAUUGUUGUUGUGAGGGUUUUUUGGGGCCUAAUCCCAAAUUGCAGGAGUAUUUUCUUAAUACUAAGCCCGUAAAUCCAGGGAUCAGGGAGCCUAAAGAGGUGUGUGUGUGUGUGUGUGUGUGUGUGUGUGUGUGUGUGUCUGUGUGUGUGUGUGUUGGAGGUGGUGGGGGUUAAGUUUGGAGAGGCUUCUCGUCUGUGUUGUUGGCGCUUAUUAAAAGCAUGAUGCAUAAAAUCCCAGGUUGUCAGAAAGCAAUGCAGGAGGCUCCGGACAGGCUGCUGCACACUUUCAUUUAAAAACAAAACAAAACACACACAGACAAAAGCAGCCCUGCAGACACAGGACGGGGCAGAAAAGCCCUUUAAAUCAGCUGACGGCACUGAGUUUGGGUGCAGGCUGGAGGAAAAGUGCAGCUCAGUGGGCAGAUGAAGAUGGGACAGAGGAAAACAACAUGGACCAAAUACUGCAGUCUGAUGUGGAUCCAUCAGGAACAGGCUUUGCUCUGCUGAGACUCUCCGCUGUAACAGCUGCUCUGACUGACUGACUGACACCCGAGGAGCCGCGGGAGAAACAGGAAAUGAGAAAACGACUCGUCAUUCAGUGUCAAGUACAGUGCAGACAGCGGGGAGGGCUCACACGGUGGAGAGCGCUGAGAGAGGAGCUGUCAAUCACCAGCCCCGUGGCCCCGCCCCUCUCAUUAAGAAGACAAACAAUGAAGAAGAAGAAGAAGAAGAAGAAGAAGAAGAAGGGGAGGGAGAAAUCAGACGCCAGAGCCCCCAUCCAGUACCCAUCACCCCCUGCAACACAGAGCCUCCAUGAAUACACACACAUACACACAGCGUGGCCUUCGGCGGGCGGAGACAUCGACACUCAAGCCACGUCCAAAGGAGGAUGCACCCGCUUCUCCCCUCGGCCGACAUUGCGAAGGUCUCUUCUGCCUUAAUCCUCUUUGACUUUAUUCAUGCAAAGGUCAUCUCUGUUUCUGGAAAUGGAGGAUGGUUGUGGAGGGUCUCCGAGCUGAAGAGCCAUGGAAGAGCCUGGAAGACGCUGUGUGUGUGUGUGUGUGUGUGUAUGUGUGAUUUCAGGAUCAUUAGUCACCAAUAAAGCCUGAUACGUGAUCUCAGAGAUUGCUGCCUGUUCCUGGAAAAGAUACUGCUGUCAUUGUGUUUCCCCAGCAGAUAUUAGACACCUCGUGUUUUGGACAUUUUGGGAUUGUUUUAUUUUCAACUGAUUGAUUGGCAAUCUGCCGAUGUAACCGGGCACGGAUGGCUUCAUCAGAUGACAGCAAUUCAGAGUUUCCUCUUGUUAAAGGAUGAGUGUGUAGGAUUUAAUGAGAGUUUAGUAAGAUUGCAACCAACUGAGUACUGUUCGCGUUUAAGUGUGUGCGAGAAACGACGGUGAACAUGAAACAGUGUUUACUUUGUCUGUUAGAUAAAAACUUUCUAAGAUAACAAAAACACAACGAUUCCUAUAUUCAGGUGAUUAAACACUAAUGAAAACAAACCUAUGAAUAUUAUACUACAUUCCUCAAUGUUUCACACUGGACCUUGAAUUCACUUUGGCCGAAUGAAACACAUCUUGGAGUUUGGGGCUUUGAAGUGUUAUGAAUCUUUUCUUGCCAAGACACGUCCUGCGUUGGUGAUUGUUGGAAGGUUUUGAUGAGUUGUAUUUUGGUUUCUGUCUCUCUGCUUUGGUGUGAGAUGCUGAUGCUUUAAUGUGACAUUCAGUGUCAAGUGAAUUUAUAUAUGACCUUCGAACUGAACUUCCCGUUAGCAACCAAACACCAAAAGCAAAUGUUUGAAAGAAGUGAUGUAAAAUCCUCCCUCUUUAGUUUAAAGUUCAGGUUUUCCACCUGGUUUUAUUUUGCUGUUCUAAGUGAAGGAAGGUUGAACGGAGGUUUGAAGCGGACACCACUGAUUGGUCGUUAUUUAAUACUGAAUUAAAGGCAAAAUAAGUCCUAACAUUGGCUUGUUAUUCUGGGCCGCCAAUACAUCAGUUGAAGCCUAAUUACAUGAAGUGCUGCAGCACCCAGAGGGGAGCCACGCACCAGCAGCCAUGUAAAACAGAGGAAACACACAGCAGAGAAGUGGCAGUCAAUUUAGCCCGAGUGCAAAAGAGAAAAGGUCACUUCUCAGCAGAGACAAAGUACUAAUUAAGAGGACCCAGUCCACUGCCUCCACACAGAGGCAGUUAAAAAGUCUUCAUCUGUCAUAAAAGCCUCGGUGUCGGGACGUCAGAGAGCUGCUGAACUGGAACAACACAAAAACCAGAGAGCUGCACCGCUGGAGGGACGGACGAGGAACUGCUGAGGAAGUUGGGACAAAUUUAUUCAUAAGCUACACAUUUAGAUAAAUCGUGGCCUUUUCACUCCUCCAGUACGGUCCGUUUAUAAUAUUAGCUCAUUUAAAGCUAAUGUACCGAGCGUUAACAUUCUUACAAAGUGCACUAAAGUACUGAAACUAAAGUCCUUCAGCCAAUCACGGAUCACUUCCUCAGGCAGAACUACUGUUUAUUUACUAACUAACAGCCUGAUUCUUAAAUAUAAUAUUCAUAGGUUUGUUUCCAUUAGUGUAUAAUCACCUGAAUAUAGGAAUCAUUUUGAUGUUACCUUAGAAUGAGCUGGUUAUAUUUACAGAUAUUGCCUUUCAGGAAGCAACCAUGUUGAACUGCCAUGUUUCUACACUGGCACUAGAUUGGGUCGUUUUUCAUGCUUUUCAUGGCCACUGUAGUUUCUCCCUCACGCUUGGAAAGGGAG